Molecule: ribosomal RNA, 910 nt
Filed under: Aspergillus amstelodami
Lineage: Eukaryota; Fungi; Ascomycota; Eurotiomycetes; Eurotiales; Aspergillaceae
Description: LSU rRNA
Rfam family: Eukaryotic large subunit ribosomal RNA
Source: RNAcentral
GCAUAUCAAUAAGCGGAGGAAAAGAAACCAACCGGGAUUGCCUCAGUAACGGCGAGUGAAGCGGCAAGAGCUCAAAUUUGAAAUCUGGCCCCUCCGGGGUCCGAGUUGUAAUUUGUAGAGGAUGCUUCGGGUGCGGCCCCCGUCUAAGUGCUCUGGAACGGGCCAUCGGAGAGGGUGAGAAUCCCGUCUGGGACGGGGUGUCCGCGUCCAUGUGAAGCUCCUUCGACGAGUCGAGUUGUUUGGGAAUGCAGCUCUAAAUGGGUGGUAAAUUUCAUCUAAAGCUAAAUACUGGCCGGAGACCGAUAGCGCACAAGUAGAGUGAUCGAAAGAUGAAAAGCACUUUGAAAAGAGAGUUAAACAGCACGUGAAAUUGUUGAAAGGGAAGCGCUUGCGACCAGACUCGCUUCCGGGGUUCAGCCGGCUUUCGGGCCGGUGUACUUCCCCGGGGGCGGGCCAGCGUCGGUUUGGGCGGCCGGUCAAAGGCCCCUGGAAUGUAACGCCUCUCGGGGCGCCUUAUAGCCAGGGGUGUCAUGCGGCCAGCCUGGACCGAGGAACGCGCUUCGGCACGGACGCUGGCAUAAUGGUCGUAAACGACCCGUCUUGAAACACGGACCAAGGAGUCUAACAUCUACGCGAGUGUUCGGGUGUCAAACCCGUGCGCGCAGUGAAAGCGAACGGAGGUGGGAGCCCCCUCGCGGGGCGCACCAUCGACCGAUCCUGAUGUCUUCGGAUGGAUUUGAGUAAGAGCGUAGCUGUGGGGACCCGAAAGAUGGUGAACUAUGCCUGAAUAGGGCGAAGCCAGAGGAAACUCUGGUGGAGGCUCGCAGCGGUUCUGACGUGCAAAUCGAUCGUCAAAUUUGGGUAUAGGGGCGAAAGACUAAUCGAACCAUCUGGGUAGCUGGGUCCUGCG